GUGGGGAAUUUUGGACAAUGGGCGCAAGCCUGAUCCAGCAAUGCCGCGUGCAGGAAGAAGGCCUUUUGGUUGUAAAGCACUUUAAGCGAGGAGGAGGCUACCGAGAUUAAUACUCUUGGAUAGUGGACGUUACUCGCAGAAUAAGCACCGGCUAACUCUGUGCCAGCAGCCGCGGUAAUACAGAGGGUGCGAGCGUUAAUCGGAUUUACUGGGCGUAAAGCGCGCGUAGGUGGCCAAUUAAGUCAAAUGUGAAAUCCCCGAGCUUAACUUGGGAAUUGCAUUCGAUACUGGUUGGCUAGAGUAUGGGAGAGGAUGGUAGAAUUCCAGGUGUAGCGGUGAAAUGCGUAGAGAUCUGGAGGAAUACCGAUGGCGAAGGCAGCCAUCUGGCCUAAUACUGACACUGAGGUGCGAAAGCAUGGGGAGCAAACAGGAUUAGAUACCCGAGUAGUCC
This 451-nucleotide ribosomal RNA is filed under the name uncultured bacterium. RNAcentral's name for it is "partial 16S ribosomal RNA". It matches the Rfam family "Bacterial small subunit ribosomal RNA", at positions 354 to 796 of the family's 1533-position model. The record is from RNAcentral.